AACGAACGCUGGCGGCAUGCCUAACACAUGCAAGUCGAACGAGACCUUCGGGUCUAGUGGCGCACGGGUGCGUAACGCGUGGGAACCUGCCCUUAGGUUCGGAAUAACUCCCCGAAAGGGGUGCUAAUACCGGAUAAUGUCUUCGGACCAAGGAUUUAUCGCCUUUGGAUGGGCCCGCGUUGGAUUAGCUAGUUGGUAGGGUAAGAGCCUACCAAGGCGACGAUCCAUAGCUGGUCUGAGAGGAUGAUCAGCCACACUGGGACUGAGAAACGGCCCAGACUCCUACGGGAAGCAGCAGUGGGGAAUAUUGGACAAUGGGCGAAAGCCUGAUCCAGCAAUGCCGCGUGAGUGAUGAAGGCCUUAGGGUUGUAAAGCUCUUUUACCCGGGAUGAUAAUGACAGUACCGGGAGAAUAAGCUCCGGCUAACUCCGUG
Molecule: ribosomal RNA, 433 nt
Filed under: uncultured bacterium
Lineage: Bacteria
Description: partial 16S ribosomal RNA
Rfam family: Bacterial small subunit ribosomal RNA
Source: RNAcentral